This 68-nucleotide transfer RNA is filed under the name Marmota monax (woodchuck). Its description in RNAcentral is "tRNA.Thr". The record is from RNAcentral. Lineage: Eukaryota; Metazoa; Chordata; Mammalia; Rodentia; Sciuridae.
GUGGUGGCUCAGUGGUACAGUGCUUGCCUAGUAUGUGUGAGGCACUGGGUUCGAUUCUCAACACCACA